ACACAUGCAAGUCGAACGAAGCUUUGAGGAGCUUGCUCUUUAAAGCUUAGUGGCGGACGGGUGAGUAACGCGUGAGCAACCUGCCUCUCAGAGGGGGAUAACGUUUUGAAAAGAACGCUAAUACCGCAUAACAUAUCGGAACCGCAUGAUUCUGAUAUCAAAGGAGCAAUCCGCUGAGAGAUGGGCUCGCGUCCGAUUAGUUAGUUGGUGAGGUAACGGCUCACCAAGACUACGAUCGGUAGCCGGACUGAGAGGUUGAUCGGCCACAUUGGGACUGAGACACGGCCCAGACUCCUACGGGAGGCAGCAGUGGGGGAUAUUGCGCAAUGGGGGAAACCCUGACGCAGCAACGCCGCGUGAAGGAAGAAGGUCUUCGGAUUGUAAACUUCUUUUGUCAGGGACGAAGAAAGUGACGGUACCUGACGAAUAAGCUCCGGCUAACUACGUGCCAGCAGCCGCGGUAAUACGUAGGGAGCGAGCGUUGUCCGGAUUUACUGGGUGUAAAGGGUGCGUAGGCGGCCGAGCAAGUCAGUUGUGAAAACUAUGGGCUUAACCCAUAACGUGCAAUUGAAACUGUCCGGCUUGAGUGAAGUAGAGGUAGGCGGAAUUCCCGGUGUAGCGGUGAAAUGCGUAGAGAUCGGGAGGAACACCAGUGGCGAAGGCGGCCUACUGGGCUUUAACUGACGCUGAGGCACGAAAGCAUGGGUAGCAAACAGGAUUAGAUACCCUGGUAGUCCAUGCCGUAAACGAUGAUUACUAGGUGUGGGGGGACUGACCCCUCCCGUGCCGCAGUUAACACAAUAAGUAAUCCACCUGGGG
RNAcentral lists this ribosomal RNA (819 nucleotides) under uncultured bacterium. RNAcentral describes it as "bacterial SSU rRNA". It matches the Rfam family "Bacterial small subunit ribosomal RNA", at positions 51 to 878 of the family's 1533-position model. The record is from RNAcentral.